Non-coding RNA from Sus scrofa (pig), 86 nucleotides. Lineage: Eukaryota; Metazoa; Chordata; Mammalia; Artiodactyla; Suidae. The record is from Rfam.
CUGUGAGCAGUGCCCAACCCAGGGAGGUGCUGUUCACCUAGACUGCAUGUGAACAGGGCCUUUCUGGGUCGAGUAAUGCUCAACGA